CCGAGUUUACAACUCCCAAACCCCUGUGAACAUACCUAUACGUCGCCUCGGCGGAUCAGCCCGCGCCCCGUAAAAAGGGACGGCCCGCCCGAGGACCCCUAAACUCUGUUUUUAGUGGAACUUCUGAGUAAAACAAACAAAUAAAUCA
RNAcentral lists this unclassified non-coding RNA (148 nucleotides) under soil metagenome. RNAcentral describes it as "partial internal transcribed spacer 1". The record is from RNAcentral.